UUUCGCGCAAUAGAAUUAAGGAUGAUGAGCAGCAUGUUAAUACCUUCUCCAUCAUCGAUUCGGUGGGCUCAAUUUGUUUGGAGAGAAUGAUAGUGAGUCAUCCAAAACUUGUGCUCGAACACCACGUCUUCAAGCUUCUUCAGCCAGCUCUUGACGGCGUCGCCGGGGAUGGUUCGCCCUCCGCGUCGUUCAAGAAUUUCUGGAUGGUGUCGAGACUCGCAGCCAGCUUUGCUGCUUCUUUGUCGAGACCUCGGAUUUGAGAGAUCUCUUUCUUGCAAAAGUCGAUGAGGCUUUGAAUUGGAGUUUGAAGGACGGAGGCAGCAGUUUUCGCAUCCAUUCUGUGUGUGCGGAUAACUUAGAGAGAGAAAGAGAGAAAUUUAGGAGAGAGAGUAAGAGCAAAGGAAUAGAAUUGGAUGAGUGUUCAAGCAGAAGAGUUUACUUCCUUUCAUUCAAGAUAUUGUUUUCUUUUUAUAUAUCAAUUCUUGCCUCAUUUAAAAAUACUAUAUAAAACAUGGAAAUAGUAGCCUUUAAGACUUUUUUACCCUUAUUUAAAGACGGUAACUUUUUUUUACCCAAAUAUGAUUUAACCCAAAAUCUAGGUUUUGUUUUUUGUUUUAACUUUUUUUUAUUUUACUAUUUUGUGAAAUUUUUGAAAAUUAGUAAAAAAACUAAUUAAUCAAUAUAUAAUAUUAAGGGUAACUUUGUCAUUUCAACACUAAAAAUGCUACAUUUUCCAUAUAUUUAUCUUCAUGGACAUAUUUUCCUACAACUAAAAGGUUUUGGCUAGAGUAGGGUUUCACUCUUUCUUUUUUUCAUUUUAUAUAUUUCAAUUCAAUCUUUGCCGGCACUUUUUUAAAACUAUGACUUUGACUAAGUGGUAAACGUAUUAAAAUAUAAAAAUAUGAUACCUUUAGAAAUCGGUUACAUAGAAAUUUCUAUGCAUUACCUCUUUAUAUAAUGCAAUUUUUUCCACUUAUGCCACCUCUAUUUCCAUUUUAUCCUUCUAAAUAAAAUAAUACUCCCUCCAUCUGCCAAAAGUGGGGCACAAUUACAAUAUCGGGCGUUCGCAAAGAGUGUAAUAGUUUUCUUUUAAAGAAAUGGUUCCACCACCAAUUUAAUCUUUUAUCCUUACAAACACUCUUUAUUUACAAAAAAAUCCACCACAAAUUCAAUCUCAACCACAUAUCUCAUAAAGUGGUGGGACCCUUCUCAACUACAUCAAAAUCAUGACAAAUUUUAUUAUAUUUGGAUUGGGUGCAGCUAAGAGGAUUCUUGGAAUGGAUAUAAGGAGAAACAGAGCUGCUGGGGUUAUUUGGCUUGGGCAGGAAAUUAUAUUCAUAAGGUUUUAAGGAAGUUCAACUUACAUGAAGCUAAGGUUUUGUCUGUUCCUUUAGCUCAGAAUGAUAAGUUGUCUGAUAAACAAUAGCCCUCAAAGUUUGAAUGAGCAGAGAGAUAUGAUGGAUGUUCCAUAUUCAAACUUAGUUGGGAGCUUGAUGUACACAAUGGUGUGUACUCGCCUAUAUAGCACAUGUUAUUAGUGUUACUAGUAGAUAUAUGUCAAAGCCUGGAAGAGAUCACUGGGAAGCACUUAAGAAGGUGUUAAGGUAUCUCAAGGGCAGUGAAAUAGAUGAAUUCUAUUUCAAAGGAGUUCAGGAAGUUCAGAUUCUGUUUGGAAGGUUUUUGUGACUCUGAUUAUGCGCAAAUUCAGAUAAUAGAAGAUCUCAGUCUGGGUAUGUUUCACUCUAUUUGGUUCAGCUUAAGCUGGAAGUCCUCUCUUCAACAUGUUGUAGCACUCUCUACAACAGAAGCUGAGUACAUGGCCAUUACUGAGGCAGUUAAGGAGGCUAUUUGGCUUAAAGGUUUUGUCAGAUUUUGAUAUAAAUCAAGAUUGUGUAGAUAUUAAAUGUGAUAGUCAGAGUGCUCUUUGUUUGGUGAAACACCAGACAUUCCAUGAAAGAUCCAAACAUAUCGAUGUCAGGUUGCACUUUGUGAGGGAUAUCAUUGAAAAGGGAGUUGUUCGAAUGAAGAAAGUGUCUACAGAUAACAAUGCUGCUGAUAUGCUAACUAAGGCUAUUUCUGUCUCUAAGUUUGUUUACUGCAUGAGUCUUAUCAAGCUGGUUUCACAAGCUUGAUGGUUGUUUUGGGAAAUUUUGUAGUUAUCUGUGUUUGUGAUGGUGCUGGUGAUCAAAGUUUGCUUUCGGAGGUAUGUCUUUGAGCUUGGUUAUUCAUUGGUGUGGAUUGAAGACUUUGAGAAUAAGGUGGAGAAUUAUUAUUUGUUUAUUCUCAAAGUCGUGCUUCUCUUUUAAUUGGAGGAAACGCGUUGCUGCGGAAGGGUUGAUGUGCAAAGUUCAGAAACACGGAGGGACUUAUCUGCAAUACUUAUUAGUUGCUGGGUUUUAAUCUCGUCCGUUGAUUUUGAUGAACGGCUCUGAUCAGAUCAGACUGAAGUUGGUUUUAACUAACUUCAUCGUCUUCAUUCUGCAAGUGAAAGGAGUUGCAGAAUCUUGAGCGCAGCUGAGAGUGUUUCUUUCUGUUUUGGGGUGUGUGAUUUCUGUACGGGUUGUAGUCUAGAUCUCUGGGUUCUCUCUUCAAAGUUUGUGAGAGGUUUUAUUGAGUGUUGAUUACUUUGGUGUACUGAAAUUUAUCCUUUGAUAGUGAAUAAAGUCGAGCUCGAUUUCUUGGCCCGUGGAUGUAGGGAUUUAUCCCGAACCACGUAAAUAGCUGUGUUCGUGUGUAUUUUGUUUGAGUUCUUAGUUGAUUUCACAACACGUCCGAUUAACAUUACCAACGGCGGUGGCCUUGCCGCUAAUUAGCGACGGCCUCUACCGUCGGUAUUUCUCCGGCAAUUCUCCGCCGUUCAAUGGCGAAAAGAUAAGAGGUUCUAAUUAAACUUAUCUUAAUUAAUUAUUUAUUUUUCUACUUUAUUACCUACACACUUAAAACAUUAAUCUCCAACUCCUUAAUUCCCGUGCUGAAAAGAAGUGACUCAAAAUUCGUGGGACGAAGGGAGUAUUAUUUAAUGAUACAUAAAGUGAUCACAAAUGUUUAGUAAUUAUCCAAUAAACGUAACUAAAAUAUUAAUAUUGAUAAUAUUUAUAAUUAUACAUGGACUUUUAAAAUAUUUAUUUUUCUUUUAUGAACAUUUAGCUAGCAUGUGUAAGAGAAAUUUUGAACAUUUAAUAUUAAUUAAAUCACUAUAAUUGUGUAACAAUUAUAAUCCCAUCAAAAUGGUUUUAACAUAAUCAUAGCGUUAUAAUUUAUUGUAUUAUUUCAUUUUUACUUCUUAAAUAUUUACACACACACAUACAUAAUAUGACCACAUUCUUUUUGAAUGGUAUAUAAUAACAUAUUAAUUUUCGUCUAAAAUGAUAUGUUCAGUAAAUAUAAAUAAAUAUUCAGGAAACAUAAAUAAAAAAUUACUAAAAUAUUGAUAUUGACAAAAUUUAUGAUUAUACAUGGACUUAUAACAUAUUUAUUAAUUUAUUCUUUCUUGAACAUUUAUUCAACAUAUUUAAAAUAUAUAUAAAAAUAUGAUACCUUUAUAAAUCGGUUACAUAGAAAUUUCUAUGCAUUACCUCUUUGUAAUGCAAUUUUUUCCAAUUAAAAGACAAGAAAAUUGAACAUUCUUCUUUUUCCCGUUUCACAUGAUACUUCAACUUGUAUUUGCUUUUUAUCAUUCUAAAUAAAAUAAUACUAUACUCCAUUCGUCUCACAAAAACAUGAAUAUUUUGCCAUUUUGAGGCGUCUCACAAAAACAUGAACAUUUCUAUUUUUAUACACUACCCCACCACAAUUCCUUUACUUUUAAUUAUGUAUAGUUUUUAUAAAGUGGGCCUUUUUUUCCACUCAUAAUAUAAUUUUAUCUAAUAUUUCUUAAAAUUCGUGUCACUUACAAAUGUUCAUAUUUUUGUGGGACGGAUGAAGUAAUAAUUAAAGUAUAAGUUUAUCACAUUUUAUGUUUGAAUGCAGUGAAACCCUUUUCCAACGGUGCCUCUGCUACAGCUAAUAUUUGGAGCAAUGAGGACAAAACUCAGCAGAUGUAGUGGAUACUGUUCAUCCGUUACGUGACUUUUAUUUUCUCUCUCUCUUAUUUCUUCCUUGUAUUUUAUGAUUUAUCAAAAAUAUUUAAAUAUGAUUGAGCAUAAAUAUAUAGGAUACUAUAAUAAUUAAAUGACAUAAUUAUUUAAUGAUAGAAAGCAUAAAAAUAGAAUAUUCUAUUGAGUUCAAUGUAGAAUUGAUUGUAAGUCUUUGUGCUUUAUAAAUUAGUUACAUGAGACAAGAAGAUUGUACAUUCUUCCUUUUCCCGUUUUCACACAACACUUCAACGUGUGGAAAAAAAUUUAUAAAACAAUAUAUCUAUCUUUGGUCAUCGUUAAUCACCACAAAAUCUUCCUCUCCAAAUAAGCCGAGAGUUGGGAGAAAGAUAAUUACAUAUUUAGAAGUUGACAUUGAUGAAAUUCUAAAAAUAGAGAUAAAUGAGAAAGAAUAUUUUUUUUAACACUUAAAGUAUCAAAAUGAUAUUAUUUUGAUGUUUAAGUUGAAAAAAAAAAAGUUUUAAGAAAUAGUUCAUGUUAGACUCUGAUGAGAUGAGUAUCUCUUCGUCACCAAAUAUUUUAUAUAAAAAAAGAUAAAUAUUUAAAGAAUUUUUAAGAGAAAACAAAAUUUAGAGACACAAAACACUUAUAAUACUUAUUUUUAUAUAUAAAAAGUGAUUGUUAACCGAACUAUACUUGUACUCAUUAAAUUUAUAACUUUAAUAGUUAUAUAUUUAUGCUUACAAAGUUUAUCUAUUGGUGCUAUGGUUAAAGUAUCAUUUUGACUUUAAAGGUGUGAAGAAUAAUCAUGCAUGCUUCAAUCCAUAUACCGCGAUAUGAAAAUGUAAACACUAGACACAAAUUACUGAUCUUCACCAGCAAAUGGUGUAAGCUACAAAUAAAAUUAUGAAAAUUAUAUGUGAAAUAGUGUCAAAAAAAUAUGAUGCAUAAAUAUAGGAGGACAGAUGAAGUACUAUAAAAUCAAAUGAUUAUACUAAUAAAAAAAAAGAAAAAAAAUCUCAAAUUUGACUACACACAAUCAACAAGCAGAAUCGAAAAAUUCAUCUUCACCUUCCCUACUGCGCUUUAAGGUCGGCGGUAGCAGCUGCUGCUUCCUUGCUAUGUGUGAUGCAAGCUGAGAACUUAGAGAGAGAAACAGACAAACUCAGUGAGAGAGAGAGAGAGAGAGAGGAUUAAGGAGCAGAAUUGGAUGAGUGAUGCAAGCUAGCAUUUAAUUAAUUCAUUCAAGAUAUGGUUUUCCUUUUUAAUUUUUUAUAUUUCAAUCUUGGCCGACGCGUUUUUUAAUACUUUGACUAUGACCAGUUAGUUGAUGAAUGUUUUGGUGGGUGGUAUUAACAUAAUCCCUCCCAUCCUUAUAAAAAAAAUUUAUUUCUAAACGGUACAAAUUAUCAUAGGAUCUCGCUUUAUUGUGAGUAGAAAACUCACAAAAAAUAAAUUAGAUUGAUUUUAUGAAGACGAACAAAAAUAACAAAUUGAAUACAUUUUAUGAGGACGAGGGGGUAAAAAAUUGUUGAAUAUAGUAUUUAGUUAAAAUUUUAAUAAUGUGGUAAAGGUAUUAAAAUAUAUAAAUAUGCUAUCUUUAUAAAUUGGUUACAUAGAAAUUUAUAUACAUCUCUAUAUAAUGCGCUUCUUUUUCCAAUUAGGGUGCGUUCUCUUUGAUUGUAAAUUUAUCAUGAGAAAAUUAGGGAAAAACAAAAUUUUACCAUUUAAAUCAUUCCUUUCUUUUUCCACAUUUCCUACUUGACCCUUACCCAUUUCUCAUUUACACUACAAAGGAGGGAUAAUAUUAUCCCUCCAAAAAUGGUGUGAUAAUAUUAUCCCCCAUUUGUAGUGUAAAUGAGGAAUGAGUAGGGG
Molecule: long non-coding RNA, 5909 nt
Filed under: Salvia miltiorrhiza (redroot sage)
Lineage: Eukaryota; Viridiplantae; Streptophyta; Magnoliopsida; Lamiales; Lamiaceae
Description: long non-coding RNA (SMIL_LNC007426)
Source: RNAcentral